CCAAUAGCGUAUAUUAAAGUUGUUGCAGUUAAAAAGCUCGUAGUUGAAUUUCGGGACCAUCAUGUCGGUCGUGCCUCGGUACGUACUGGCAUUGUUGGUUUCUCCCUUCUGACGAACCAUGAUGUCAUUUAUUUGGUGUUGUGGGGAAUCAGGACUGUUACUUUGAAAAAAUUAGAGUGUUUAAAGCAGGCUCACGCUUGAAUACAUUAGCAUGGAAUAAUGAAAUAGGACGUUUGAUUCUAUUUUGUUGGUUUCUAGGAUCGACGUAAUGAUUAAUAGGGAUAGUUGGGGGCAUUAGUAUUCAAUUGUCAGAGGUGAAAUUCUUGGAUUUAUUGAAGACUAACUACUGCGAAAGCAGUUGCCAAGGAUGUUUUCAUUAAUCAAGAACGAAAGUUAGGGGAUCGAAGACGAUCAGAUACCGUCGUAGUCUUAACCAUAAACUAUGCCGACUAGGGAUCGGAUGAUGUUAAUUUUUUAAUGACUCAUUCGGCGCCUUACG
Molecule: ribosomal RNA, 499 nt
Filed under: uncultured Glomeromycotina
Lineage: Eukaryota; Fungi; Glomeromycota
Description: partial small subunit ribosomal RNA
Rfam family: Eukaryotic small subunit ribosomal RNA
Source: RNAcentral